UACGUAGGGGGCUAGCGUUGUCCGGAAUCAUUGGGCGUAAAGAGCGUGUAGGCGGCUUGGUAAGUCCGCUGUGAAAGUCCAGGGCUCAACCCUGGAAUGCCAGUGGAUACUGUCAAGCUAGAGUCCGGAAGAGGCGAGUGGAAUUCCUGGUGUAGCGGUGAAAUGCGCAGAUAUCAGGAGGAACACCGGUGGCGAAGGCGGCCUACUGGGCCAGCACUGACGCUGAGGCGCGAAAGCUCGGGGAGCGAACGGG
This 253-nucleotide ribosomal RNA is filed under the name uncultured bacterium. RNAcentral describes it as "partial 16S ribosomal RNA". It matches the Rfam family "Bacterial small subunit ribosomal RNA", at positions 524 to 776 of the family's 1533-position model. The record is from RNAcentral.